Molecule: unclassified non-coding RNA, 378 nt
Filed under: uncultured Chlamydiales bacterium
Lineage: Bacteria; Pseudomonadati; Chlamydiota; Chlamydiia; Chlamydiales
Description: contains 16S-23S intergenic spacer region
Source: RNAcentral
UCCCAGUUAACCUGGGCAGUCUCACUAGAGUACCCGCCAUUACGCGCUGGCAACUAAUGAUAAGGGUUGCGCUCGUUGCGGGACUUAACCCAACACCUCACGGCACGAGCUGACGACAGCCAUGCAGCACCUGUAUAGCGGCCCUUACGGGAAGCCUCAUCUCUGAAGCGGUCCACUAUAUGUCAAGUCUGGGUAAGGUUCUUCGCGUUGCAUCGAAUUAAACCACAUGCUCCACUGCUUGUGCGGGCCCCCGUCAAUUCUUUUGAGUUUCACCCUUGCGAGCGUACUCCCCAGGCGGUAUACUUAACGCGUUAGCUUCGACACAGCCGGGGUUGAGACCAGCUACAUCAAGUAUACAUAGUUUACGGCAAGGACUAC